GAUAAAUGUUUUAUUUUGUCGUGUUUGGUAUGCAGCAUCAUUUUGAUUUUUAUUAGAUUAGUCUUUUCUUUUGACUUCUUUUCUUGCAGGCUCUUUCUGAAGGCAACAUUAUAAGGCUUCAAAAAUAGCACAGUGAGCCAAGAGAAACUGCAAAGACACCGCUGUGGGAUGGUGAUUUGGAUAUAAAAUUCUCUGAGCCAGGUGACAUGUUUAUGACUAACUCACGUCAGACUUACUCAUUUAGUAUUGGCACUAUUUCAAGUAAAAAAGAAUUCUCUUUUUCUAAUCUUUCAGAAGAUAUUAUUAAUUUAAAAGAUAGCUAAAAGGUGCCAUGAGGUUGAGGACAAAAGCAGAUGGCAUAUUCCAGUGUGUGUUUCUGUCCCCUGACAUGGAAUGGUCAGUGGAAAUCCUGUGAUUAUUUUUUGCAGGGUAUGAUAAGCUGUUGGACCAUCUUAGACAACCAUCUAGACCCUGGAGCCAUUGUAGUUUGGGGUGAUCACCAAAACCAGACAGUUUUAUGAUCAUGAAGUUUAGAUGGCAGAGAGAGAAGGAGAAAGAAAAUUAAGUAAGCCUACAUAUUUUUCCUUUUUAAAAACUGAUUUCUUUUAAAUAGAUAAAAUUUUAUACAUUUAUCAUAUACAACAUGAUGUUUUAAAAUAUAUAUACAUUGUGGAAUGGUUAAAUCUAGUUAAUUAAAAUAUGCAUUACCUCACGGUUAUUUUUUGUGGUGAGUACAUUUUACAUCCAUUCUGUUAGCAUAUUUCAAUAAUAUAACAUAUUGUCAUUAACUAUAGUCACCAUGUGGUCCAAUAGAUCUCUUGAACUUAUUUCUCCAGUCCAACUAUAAUUUUGUAUUGUUUGACCAUUGUCUUUCUAGCCCUUCCCCAUCCCUGCAAGUGCCCCAGCCUCUGGUAAGUACUACUGGACUCUCUACUUCUAUGAGAUCAACUUUUUUAGAUUCCACAUAUGAAUGAGAUCAUGUGGUAUUUGUCUUUCUGUGCUUGGCUUAUUCUACUUAAUAUAAUGUCCCCCAGGUUCAUCCAUGUUUUUGCAAAUUUAUAAGAUUUCUUUAUUUUUUUUUAUAGCUGAAUAGUAUUCCAUUGUGAACAUACACUACAUUUUCUUUAUCCAUUAAUCUGUUGAUGGACACUUAGGUUGAUUUCAUAUCUUGGCUAAUGUGGAUAAUGCUGCAAUAAACAUGGGAGUGCAGGUAUCUCUCUGACACACUGAUUUCCUUUCCUUUGGGUAUAUAACCAGGAGAAGAAUAGCUGGAUCAUAUAGUAAUUCUAUUUUUAGUUUUUUUUGAGGAAUCUUCAUACUAUUUUUAUAAUGGCUGUACUAAUUUGCAUUCCCAUCGCCAGUUUACAAGUAUUUUCUCCACAGCCUUAUCAACAUUUAUCUUUUGUCUUUUUGAUUGUAGCCAUUCUAAUAGGAGUGAGGUGAGAUCUCAUUGUGGUUUUCAUUUGCAUAUCUCUGAUGAUUAGUGAUAUUGAGAAUGUUUUCAUAUACCUGUUGGCCAUGUAUAUGUCUUCUUUUGAGCUAUGUCUGUUUAGCAUAUUUGCACAUUUUAAAAUCAGAUUUAUUUUUUAAUUUUUUAUUUGCUGUUGAGUUGUUUGAGUUUCUUAUAUAUUCUGGAUAUUAAUCCCUUAUCAGAUGUAUAGUGUAAAAACGCUUUCCAC
Papio anubis (olive baboon) is the source of this 1679-nucleotide long non-coding RNA. NCBI's taxonomy places the organism in Eukaryota, Metazoa, Chordata, Mammalia, Primates, Cercopithecidae. The record is from Ensembl.